Molecule: ribosomal RNA, 119 nt
Filed under: Xenopus tropicalis (tropical clawed frog)
Lineage: Eukaryota; Metazoa; Chordata; Amphibia; Anura; Pipidae
Source: RNAcentral
GCCUACGGCCAUACCACCCUAAAAGCGCCCGAUCUCAUCUGAUCUCGGAAGCUAAGCAGGGACGGGCUUGGUUAGUACGUGGAUGGGAGACCGCCUGGGAAAAACAGGUGCUGUAGACU